RNAcentral lists this non-coding RNA (22 nucleotides) under Danio rerio (zebrafish). The record is from RNAcentral. Lineage: Eukaryota; Metazoa; Chordata; Actinopteri; Cypriniformes; Danionidae. RNAcentral also lists the same sequence under 11 other names.
UACCCUGUAGAACCGAAUGUGU